Salvelinus sp. IW2-2015 is the source of this 278-nucleotide non-coding RNA. The record is from RefSeq and is a predicted model, not a curated record. NCBI's taxonomy places the organism in Eukaryota, Metazoa, Chordata, Actinopteri, Salmoniformes, Salmonidae.
UCAAAAGUCCUUGUACUUUCAGGAACCAGAACUGCCAGAGUGAACCCCAGUCCAACCAGACGUCUCUUCAGUAUUCCAGACAGCAUCCCAGACAGCACUAGCAGCUGGCUGAGUCGUAGCUCCUCUUACACCCGACGCCUCAAUAGUACAGGAAGUGAUCUCAGUAGCUCCACCCCCUCCUUGCCUCUCAGCUCAUCCUAUGGACGCAAACCGGAUGACCCCACGGGGACAGGAAGUAGCUCCUCUGCUGGACUCAGUCGACUCAACGUCCUGGUGGC